UUCAAAGUUGCGGACCCCCCCCCCUUUUUUUUUGUUUUUUUUUUUGCUCAGAUUGAACGCUGGCGGCAGGCCUAACACAUGCAAGUCGAGCGGAUGAAGGGAGCUUGCUCCUGGAUUCAGCGGCGGACGGGUGAGUAAUGCCUAGGAAUCUGCCUGGUAGUGGGGGAUAACGUCCGGAAACGGGCGCUAAUACCGCAUACGUCCUGAGGGAGAAAGUGGGGGAUCUUCGGACCUCACGCUAUCAGAUGAGCCUAGGUCGGAUUAGCUAGUUGGUGGGGUAAAGGCCUACCAAGGCGACGAUCCGUAACUGGUCUGAGAGGAUGAUCAGUCACACUGGAACUGAGACACGGUCCAGACUCCUACGGGAGGCAGCAGUGGGGAAUAUUGGACAAUGGGCGAAAGCCUGAUCCAGCCAUGCCGCGUGUGUGAAGAAGGUCUUCGGAUUGUAAAGCACUUUAAGUUGGGAGGAAGGGCAGUAAGUUAAUACCUUGCUGUUUUGACGUUACCAACAGAAUAAGCACCGGCUAACUUCGUGCCAGCAGCCGCGGUAAUACGAAGGGUGCAAGCGUUAAUCGGAAUUACUGGGCGUAAAGCGCGCGUAGGUGGUUCAGCAAGUUGGAUGUGAAAUCCCCGGGCUCAACCUGGGAACUGCAUCCAAAACUACUGAGCUAGAGUACGGUAGAGGGUGGUGGAAUUUCCUGUGUAGCGGUGAAAUGCGUAGAUAUAGGAAGGAACACCAGUGGCGAAGGCGACCACCUGGACUGAUACUGACACUGAGUGGAAGACGCCA
Molecule: ribosomal RNA, 790 nt
Filed under: Pseudomonas aeruginosa
Lineage: Bacteria; Pseudomonadati; Pseudomonadota; Gammaproteobacteria; Pseudomonadales; Pseudomonadaceae
Description: bacterial SSU rRNA
Rfam family: Bacterial small subunit ribosomal RNA
Source: RNAcentral